RNAcentral lists this ribosomal RNA (426 nucleotides) under uncultured eukaryote. Its description in RNAcentral is "SSU rRNA". It matches the Rfam family "Eukaryotic small subunit ribosomal RNA", at positions 592 to 1017 of the family's 1831-position model. The record is from RNAcentral.
CAAUAGCGUAUAUUAAAGUUGUUGCGGUUAAAAAGCUCGUAGUUGGAUUUCUGCUGAGGAUGACCGGUCCGCCCUCCGGGUGAGUAUCUGGCUCAGCCUUGGCAUCUUCCUGAAGAACGUAACUGCACUUGACUGUGUGGUGCGGUAUUUAGGACAUUUACUUUGAGGAAAUUAGAGUGUUUCAAGCAAGCGCACGCCUUGAAUACAUUAGCAUGGAAUAAUAAGAUAGGACCUCGGUUCUAUUUUGUUGGUUUCUAGAGCUGAGGUAAUGAUUGAUAGGGAUAGUUGGGGGCGAUUAGUAUUUAAUUGUCAGAGGUGAAAUUCUUGGAUUUAUGAAAGACUAACUACUGCGAAGCAUUUGUCCAAGGAUGUUUUCUAUUAAUUCAAGAACGAAAGUUAAGGGGAGUCGAAGACGAUCAGAUACCA